CGCGCACACACCGCCCGUCACUCUCCCCAAGCCAACCAACACCCUAUAAAUAAUACAUUUCACCGGUAAAGGGGAGGCAAGUCGCUAACAUGGUAAGUGUACCGGAAGGUGCACUUGGAAAAAU
This 124-nucleotide ribosomal RNA is filed under the name Stomatepia mariae (nsess). RNAcentral's name for it is "partial 12S ribosomal RNA". The record is from RNAcentral. Lineage: Eukaryota; Metazoa; Chordata; Actinopteri; Cichliformes; Cichlidae.